Molecule: ribosomal RNA, 497 nt
Filed under: uncultured bacterium
Lineage: Bacteria
Description: partial 16S ribosomal RNA
Rfam family: Bacterial small subunit ribosomal RNA
Source: RNAcentral
GAUGAACGCUGGCGGCGUGCCUAAUACAUGCAAGUCGAGCGAACGGACGAGAAGCUUGCUUCUCUGAUGUUAGCGGCGGACGGGUGAGUAACACGUGGAUAACCUACCUAUAAGACUGGGAUAACUUCGGGAAACCGGAGCUAAUACCGGAUGAUAUUUUGAACCGCAUGGUUCAAAAGUGAAAGACGGUCUUGCUGUCACUUAUAGAUGGAUCCGCGCUGCAUUAGCUAGUUGGUAAGGUAACGGCUUACCAAGGCAACGAUGCAUAGCCGACCUGAGAGGGUGAUCGGCCACACUGGAACUGAGACACGGUCCAGGCUCCUACAGGAGGCAGCAGUAGGGAAUCUUCCGCAAUGGGCGAAAGCCUGACGGAGCAACGCCGCGUGAGUGAUGAAGGUCUUCGGAUCGUAAAACUCUGUUAUUAGGGAAGAACAUAUGUGUAAGUAACUGUGCACAUCUUGACGGUACCUAAUCAGAAAGCCACGGCUAACUACGUG